GUGCCAGCAGCCGCGGUAAUACAGAGGUGGCAAGCGUUGUUCGGAAUUACUGGGCGUAAAGGGCGCGUAGGCGGUUUCGUAAGUCUUGUGUGAAAGCCCCCGGCUCAACUGGGGAACUGCACGGGAAACUGCGAGGCUUGAGUUCGGGAGAGGGAAGCGGAAUUCCGGGUGUAGCGGUGAAAUGCGUAGAUAUCCGGAGGAACACCGGUGGCGAAGGCGGCUUCCUGGACCGAUACUGACGCUGAGGCGCGAAAGCUAGGGGAGCAAACGGGAUUAGAAACCCCUGUAGUCC
Molecule: ribosomal RNA, 292 nt
Filed under: uncultured bacterium
Lineage: Bacteria
Description: partial 16S ribosomal RNA
Rfam family: Bacterial small subunit ribosomal RNA
Source: RNAcentral